AGAAGUCAAAGCCUUACUCUGGAAAUGAAGCUGGCCAUAUUUAAAUUAUAUAAAUUUUCCUUUAGUUAUUUCCAUUUACUUUGCUUUUACUGUUUAAUGAAGAUAUUUUGGAAAUGUCGGCACAUGUCAGCUCUGCUCAAUGGAAUCAAAAAAAGGAGCUUCGUGUUUGGGCCAGAAUUCCUAGGAGUCAGGAGUGGAUGUGUCAAGGGAAUUGAGAUGACGAAACCCAAGGAAGAUGAAUCUCAGUGAAACAGAGCCAAGAUCUUUCCCCAUCUUGACAAUUAUUUCUGGAUCUCUUCUUUAAUAAAAGUUUGGAGGGCUUGCUAUAUUGUUUUACUCAUUCAUAUACAUUUAGUUUUCAGAUGUCAAAGGCACACCUUCUUAAAGAGAAAUUGGUCUCUAUCUGCUUAAAUUGCAAAUUAAAUUUGAACAGAAACAGAAUCCAUAAAUUAUGAAUUACUUUAAGCAAUUUCUUUUCUGUAUCCUAUGUAGAACAAUUUGGCCGGGCAUGGUGGUUCAUGCCAGUAAACCCAACACUUUGGGAGGGUUGAAGUUGAAGAUCCACUUAAGUUCCUGGUGGAUCACUUCAAGUCAGGAAUUGGAGACCAGCCUGGCCAACAUGGCAACACUGUCUCUACUAAAAAUACAAAAAAAUAGCCAGAUGUGGUGAUGUGCAUCUAUAAUCCCAGCUAUUCAGGAGGCUGAAGCAGAAGAAUCACUUGAACCCAGGAGGCAGAGGUUGUAGUGAGCCGAGAUCACGCCACUUUAAUCCAGCCUGGGACACAGCAAGAUUCUGUUUAAAAAAAAAAAAAGAAGAAGAAUUUAACUAUCACUGUUUAUUAAUAUCUUCAGGCACGCUGAAUGAAAGGUUCACUCGGAAGUAGAUGUAAUAAUCUUCUCUGGGCUGGAUCAGCAAGUCAUCUGGACAGAUGAUAAGAGUGUGGGAAUAAAGGGUAAAGGACCAAAUGGAGUUGAGGACCUGAAGGUUGGACUUCUAAACUUGCUGGAUGCUUACCCAGAAGUUCUUGACAGCAAUAAUCUUGGUUUCUUAGCUAUUUGCCCUGCCUCAAUCGUCCCCAAGUGACUGCUCCUGUCCAGGCCUCCUGAAGCAGAGCCAGCCUAAGCUUCUGGCAGACAGGAUUCUAUCAGGGAACCAGGAUUAUUGUGAGUAUGUUGAAUAAG
Long non-coding RNA from Callithrix jacchus (white-tufted-ear marmoset), 1182 nucleotides. RefSeq lists it as uncharacterized. The record is from RefSeq and is a predicted model, not a curated record. Lineage: Eukaryota; Metazoa; Chordata; Mammalia; Primates; Cebidae.